GUUAUUUCUACAGCGUUUGGAGGGACCCGUUUAGAGAGAGGCAGAGGUCGAGCCGUGGAGCAGAUCUCGCCGCGCGGGCUCCGCCGGCCCCCGGCUGGGCCUGGUGCGUCCUGCCGGCCACCAGCGACCUCCUCGUCGGUGAGUACGUGCAGCAGCCCGGAGAGGUGCCCAAGGCUGGAUCUCGCAGAACAAGGACAUGAGGUACUUGGGCAUGGAAUGGGAAUCACAAUUGUUCUGGUGGAAAUGAAGAAUGUCCUGUUAUUUGGCUGCUACCAUCGAUGUUCUUUCAGAUUGAACAUUGCCAUGAUCGUUUCUCUACGCAACGAAUAUAUUAGAUCAAGCAUCAUGUCAUGGACACCAUAAGACUUUUCUGCGUUGAUAGUGAUGUCUACGGGUUGGAUUGUGCUUCUGUUUAUCAGCUCACUGAAGUAACUCUCCUAGCUCAAAUGGGUUAAUCUUCUGGAUAUAUGCUUACGUAUAAUAAAUGAUGUGAAGAUAGAUCAUAGGACAAAACCAUAAUCUUUAGUCUUAAGCAAGUUAGGGUAAACUAGAGAAGUAGAGAUAGAACACAACAGAAGCCACACACACAAAUGACAUGGAAAGCAGCAAAGAAAUAGUAAAAGAAGCUCUUGACUUGUAGAUUAUGUCAAAGUGAUAAUCUAGAGUCAAGCUUCUUUUACUAUUAGUUUCGAUCUACCUUGUCAUCUAUAGGAUUAGUUAUUAUAUCUAAGUAUGUUUUCAGAAGAUUAGAAGAUUAAGCAAGGUCACUUGAUAGGUAAACUGAUAGCCGAAUGUUUUGUUUAUCAUGGAAAACCAGAGAUUAGCCUAUUUAAGCUCGGUGAUAGAGUUACUCAAUGAGAUCAUAAAUAGAAGCAUGAUUCAACCAAUAGACAUCAAUUUGAUGAAUGAAUGAAAAAUCUUAUUGUGUUAUGAUAUGAUGAUUGAUCCAAUAUGUUUUUGCCAAGUGAAGAAAAACACUAACAUUGCACUGAGUGAAAGCGAUCUAUACAAAGGCAAGAUUUGAAUAUUAUCCACCCGAAAGAGAAUGUCAGAUAUGACCACCAUCAGAAGAAGCAACAAUGCCACAAGUGAGCUCUCUUGUAUAUCCACGUGCUAUUGUCGAUUCAGUGUCGCGUAUGUUGAGCGUUUAUGUUCUACAUGUGUUAGAUUUAGAAUAGUGUGGUGAGCACUUCCAUUCUUGCCAAUUGAGAUGGUGAGGCUCAGGAACACUGCAUUUGCCAUGGUGUUUUGAUUUGUCUUCUGCAGCAACAUGAAACUCUCAUUGUAAUUGUACCCACUUAUGCCUGAAUACUGCUAUUACUUCAGUUAGACUCAAGAAGCACCAAGUUUCUGCAGCGCUCCUGCAUUUUGCUAAUGAUGAACUUCCUUCUCCAUUUCUUUCUUUUGUAAGGAAGAGUUAUGUACUAAUGAUGUAUGACUGGCUGGUUAAUUAUCUGUCAAUUCAACAACCAGUUUGUAUGCUGGCCAGUGCAAUUUGGCCGUAUGAACCAUUAGUUAUUAUAUAUGUACUGAUGUCUGGUUUGCCUGCUC
Molecule: long non-coding RNA, 1551 nt
Organism: Triticum aestivum (bread wheat)
Lineage: Eukaryota; Viridiplantae; Streptophyta; Magnoliopsida; Poales; Poaceae
Exons: 2
Source: RefSeq, a predicted model, not a curated record